UCAGGCCUAACACAUGCAAGUCGAGCGGGGUUUUCGGACCUAGCGGCGGACGGGUGAGUAAUGCGUAGGAAGCUACCCGAUAGAGGGGGAUACCAGUUGGAAACGACUGUUAAUACCGCAUAAUGUCUACGGACCAAAGUGUGGGACCUUCGGGCCACAUGCUAUCGGAUGCGCCUACGUGGGAUUAGCUAGUUGGUGAGGUAAUGGCUCACCAAGGCGACGAUCUCUAGCUGGUUUGAGAGGAUGAUCAGCCACACUGGAACUGAGACACGGUCCAGACUCCUACGGGAGGCAGCAGUGGGGAAUAUUGGACAAUGGGCGCAAGCCUGAUCCAAAAGUGCCGCGUGUGUGAAGAAGGCCUUCGGGU
RNAcentral lists this ribosomal RNA (367 nucleotides) under uncultured bacterium. Its description in RNAcentral is "bacterial SSU rRNA". It matches the Rfam family "Bacterial small subunit ribosomal RNA", at positions 42 to 423 of the family's 1533-position model. The record is from RNAcentral.